RNAcentral lists this non-coding RNA (30 nucleotides) under Rattus norvegicus (Norway rat). Lineage: Eukaryota; Metazoa; Chordata; Mammalia; Rodentia; Muridae. The record is from RNAcentral.
UCCCAGUUACAGUUGUUUUUGCUUGUUGGU